This 667-nucleotide long non-coding RNA is filed under the name Fukomys damarensis (Damara mole-rat). Its description in RNAcentral is "lncRNA (ENSFDAG00000030119.1)". The record is from RNAcentral. Lineage: Eukaryota; Metazoa; Chordata; Mammalia; Rodentia; Bathyergidae.
GUGUGUUCUUGGCUUGCCCUUCUGCUCAGAACUCUGCAAGUCCCUGAUGGGUAGACAGUUCCUUUGAAUCCUGCAGGUUUAAUGUCUCACUGAAGAUGAACGUCACAUUAUCUAUCCCAAGCUCAGAUGGGGCAGAGACUGUCGGUCUGCUCAUCAAACCUCUCUGUGCCCCCGAAGGACCCUAAGCGGAGCAACAGUCAGACACAAGAGACUCACACGUGAAAGCUCUGAAACGGGUGGCGCUUCCUGCUUCGGGGAGAGACCGCAGACGGUGUGUCCCACGCCCGGCACCUGGCAGGCAUUCGGUCCAUCCAGGCCUUUCCUCCUCCUCCGACUGCAUGCAAGGGUAGGCCGGGCACCGCACAGUAAAUCUCCCCCGAGCUGCUCCCCAGGCGGGGUUGGUCCUUGAAGUCGGGCUUCACUGACUUCCGGGCCCAAGGACGAGGGCAUGAGCUGAGAGCAAAGCCAGCGCCUCCGUCUGACCCACAGAGGAUUAGGGGGUGGACUGGAGACCAGGAGUCAGCGGCGCCCUGGCCGGAGACAGGGCCUGCAAGAGCGGGACAUCCACCGAGCCUUCGCCGCGCAAGAUGCAUUCGGUGCAACUGAAACCAAGAUCAGGAAGAAAGGCGCUUGUAAAACUUGAAAAUAUCUUGUCACCUCCUUGCUU